AGCAGCCGCGGUAAUUCCAGCUCCAAUAGCGUAUAUUAAAGUUGUUGCAGUUAAAAAGCUCGUAGUUGAAUUUCGGGACUAAUAUGUCGGUCGUGCCUCGGUACGCACUGGCUUAUUGGUUUCUCCUUUCUGAAGAACCAUGAUGUCAUUUAUUUGGUGUCGUGGGGAAUCAGGACUGUUACUUUGAAAAAAUUAGAGUGUUUAAAGCAGGCUCACGCUUGAAUACAUUAGCAUGGAAUAAUGAAAUAGGACGUUUGAUUCUAUUUUGUUGGUUUCUAGGAUCGACGUAAUGAUUAAUAGGGAUAGUUGGGGGCAUUAGUAUUCAAUUGUCAGAGGUGAAAUUCUUGGAUUUAUUGAAGACUAACUACUGCGAAAGCAUUUGCCAAGGAUGUUUUCAUUAAUCAAGAACGAAAGUUAGGGGAUCGAAGACGAUCAGAUACCGUCGUAGUCUUAACCAUAAACUAUGCCGACUAGGGAUCGGAUGAUGUUAAUUUUUAAUGACUCAUUCGCGCCUUA
Molecule: ribosomal RNA, 516 nt
Filed under: uncultured Glomus
Lineage: Eukaryota; Fungi; Glomeromycota; Glomeromycetes; Glomerales; Glomeraceae
Description: SSU rRNA
Rfam family: Eukaryotic small subunit ribosomal RNA
Source: RNAcentral